RNAcentral lists this unclassified non-coding RNA (1022 nucleotides) under Hevea brasiliensis (rubber tree). Lineage: Eukaryota; Viridiplantae; Streptophyta; Magnoliopsida; Malpighiales; Euphorbiaceae. The record is from RNAcentral.
AAUUCUUCUUCUUCCCUUUCUUUUCCCGAUUCUUCCCUUCUUUUAUUUUAUUUCACUUUUUUUGCUAGAGAGGACAUUCAGUUGGCUAGAAUGAGUGGGAGAAACGCAACCAGCUGUCCCUUUAAAACAAAAUUCAUUUUGGUCCUUUAUUCUUUCCAAAGUUCUAUUUUUCCAUCUCAACACUUCUAAUCUUCACUUAUAAGUCCAAAUUGAUAUUGAACUAUCUCCCCAACACUUCUAUAAAUUGAAUCUCAAUUUUCUAUAAAUUCAACUCUAACCACAAUUUCUAAUCCAAACCCACCAUGCUUCCACUAAAAUUACACACUAUUCAUCUAUAUACUCAAAAAAACUAUCAUACAUCAAUCCCUUCAAAAUAUAAUAAUAUAAGAUAACCAGAAUAACUCCAAUUACUAGAGUCUACUUCAAAACCUAUGCUUUGAUACCAUUAAAUGUCACACCCUAACCCUUUACUAAUAUCACAUCCUUCCUUUGCUUCCCAUGUCCAUGGAGUCUAGCAAAUAAGAGCUCCAAAACCACCGACUGAUACUCAACAUUCAGCUUAUAAUACUUGCAAAACUGAUGAGUUGAGAGGGCUGAGUAUAAUUACUCAAUAAGCAAAUAAAUAAAUAAAUAACAAUGGAAAAACGGAUAAGGUUUUGGUACUUAAUAGUACCAAUUUACUAUGCUAUAAUAAGUCAACUAAACAAUAUCAUUUAUUCCAAAUCACGUAACUAAGCUAAAUAAAUUCAUACUGUAAAAAUGUUGCUAAAUUAAAACUUGCUCAAAUGUUACAAGUAAUAUCCUCAUACACUAGCAAUACACUUCUUGUAGAUAGCCUCAUUCGCAUAAAACAAACUUUGGCAAUCUGAGAGUAAUGCUGACAUCAUGGGUGCUAUAAUUACAUAAAUAACCCAAGAGCAAUACAAAUACUAAUCAUACACAUUUGCAGAGCUAUCCUCAAAAGAUGAUCGCCCAAUAUAUGCCUCAAAGACUAUGUUUAUAUCAAGCAUUGUCCCAAAGAU